UACAGAGGGUGCAAGCGUUAAUCGGAAUUACUGGGCGUAAAGCGCGCGUAGGCGGAUAUUUAAGUCGAGUGUGAAAUCCCCGGGCUCAACCUGGGAACUGCAUUCGAUACUGAAUGUCUAGAGUAUGAUAGAGGAAAGUGGAAUUCCCGGUGUAGCAGUGAAAUGCGUUGAUAUCAUCAGGAACACCGGAGGCGAAGGCGGCUCACUGGGGGUCUUCUGACGCUGAGGAACGAAAGCCAGGGGAGCGAACGGG
Molecule: ribosomal RNA, 253 nt
Filed under: uncultured prokaryote
Description: partial 16S ribosomal RNA
Rfam family: Bacterial small subunit ribosomal RNA
Source: RNAcentral